RNAcentral lists this ribosomal RNA (420 nucleotides) under uncultured bacterium. RNAcentral's name for it is "bacterial SSU rRNA". It matches the Rfam family "Bacterial small subunit ribosomal RNA", at positions 29 to 484 of the family's 1533-position model. The record is from RNAcentral.
AGCGAACGCUGGCGGCAUGCUUAAUACAUGCAAGUCGAACGGAGGGUGCUUGCACCCUCAGUGGCAAACGGGUGAGUAACGCGUGGGAAUCUGCCCUAUGGUGGGGGAUAACUAAGGGAAACUUUAGCUAAUACCGCAUAUUCUUGGCAACAAGGAAAGAUUUAUUGCCAUAGGAUGAGCCCGCGUCAGAUUAGGUAGUUGGUGGGGUAAUGGCCUACCAAGCCUGUGAUCUGUAGCUGGUCUGAGAGGAUGAUCAGCCACACUGGGAUUGAGAUACGGCCCAGACUCCUACGGGAGGCAGCAGUAGGGAAUAUUGGACAAUGGGGGGAAACCCUGAUCCAGCAAUGCCGCGUGAGUGAAGAAGGCCUUCGGGUUGUUAAAGGCUCUUUCUAGUUACGAAGAUAGUGACGGUAGUAACGA